AAGAAAGACGUGUUCAUGCUGUCUAUCGUCAGAUAGCACCGCUGACGUCAACAGAACCCACAAGGAGUCAGCCCAUGUACCCGGCGGAUCCCAGAGGGACGGGCAGAGAGUCAUCAGACAUUCAGAGGACAGUUUCUACAGGAGAUGGCUUCAUAUAACGGUGAAAAAGAGCCGCUGACAGGUUCCAGGAAUGCACCGUGUUACCGUCUCUUAUGUGAUCAGCCUUGCUUGUGGAAAGCAACCAAAAAAAAAUGUAGACCAUCAAUUCCAGAGCCAGCGCUACAACACCACAAAGAAAAGAACACAUUAGUGUGCCUCACAAGGGCAAUGAUACCUUCAGGGCUGCUAUUUGUGGCUAUGAAUCUGGAUCUGAGAAGACGGUUUAAAAGGAACGAAG
Scatophagus argus is the source of this 397-nucleotide long non-coding RNA. RefSeq lists it as uncharacterized. The transcript is spliced from 3 exons. The record is from RefSeq and is a predicted model, not a curated record. Lineage: Eukaryota; Metazoa; Chordata; Actinopteri; Scatophagidae.